This is a long non-coding RNA of Rattus norvegicus (Norway rat), 854 nucleotides long. RefSeq lists it as uncharacterized. The record is from RefSeq and is a predicted model, not a curated record. Lineage: Eukaryota; Metazoa; Chordata; Mammalia; Rodentia; Muridae.
UGCUUCCAUUCCAGCCACGUGUUUCCAUAGCAACCUUAAAUGGGGCCGAGACCAGAUCACUAGAGCUUUCCACAUUCUGGUUUGAGGCUCCUGCCCCUCUCUGUGCUGAUCAGUGGGUUUUAAGAGUGAGAUCAACCAGGCGAAGAGCUAUCUAAGCCUGAGUGUGUAUGCUGGCAACAACAGAGAGGUGCAGACAGACAGAGGGACAAGCUGAUCGCAGCACCUCAGAAUCCAUUGGGUGUCAGGUGCUGGUUUGCGCACAAGUUCUGUGGGGUGUGCUAUCUCAAUUAUUCACCCUUUUCCAUGUAACUUUUGUUAAGAACAAAUUAUAUUUAUCUUUUAAUGAAAGUUUGUCAUUUUGAAAACAGAUUAGGCACAUAUCUAUAUUCCCAUAAGUCUAGUUUAUAUCGAUGAAAAAUAUUCAUCAACCGCACCAUCAGCUUGCCAGACGAAUGUAAGAAACGGGAUGGUAAGAUGGGUUUCUACCUCACCCCGCUGCUACGUCAGAAUUAGUAAAUGACAGAGUAGAUGAGUAGAGUGUCACAGAACAGCGUUGCUCACUGCACAACAUGAAGACUAGCUCUCUGGGGCCUGGAGCACUGAGGGAGGAGGCUGCAGAAGGUUGUGAUGUUGCCUGCUCUGCUCUCUAAAGCACCCGCCAUUCAAAUCGAAGCUAUGUGUCAGGAGACGUAUUGGAGAGGUGACUCAGAGGUCCUGAGUUCAAGUCCCAGCAACCACCUAGUAGCUCACAGUCAACUGUAAUGGGAUCCGAUGCCCUCUCCUGGUGUGUCUGAAGACAGCUACAGUGUACUCAUAUACAUAAAAUAAAAAUCUUUUAAAAAUUUUGUCCUAUA